CACCAAUUGAAAUGCAGAAAAUAGUAUGAUGAAGAUCUUAUUUGUUUGUUUCACAAAAGGCUUAGACUUUCAAGGAGUGAAACUGAAAACCUUGUUGAAAGUUAACACUUCUUCCUCCCUUCAUCCCUAUUCAGCCACAUGGUUUGAGCACAGAUGAUGCUUUAGACACCGGGACCACAAGAGUUGGUGAGGAAAAGAUCCCUUGUUUCCAGAUUGAGGGUAGCAGUCCAGAAAAGCAGACUGACCUGGGGGCAUGAACGACAACCAACCACGAUGUGGACUACCAGUAAACUGACAGCAGAAUUGAGUGUCAAGAUGCUUUUCAACUGUUUUUUGAAAAAGACACCUCUGAAGCUUGCUCUCCAUAAAAGAGAGAGAUCACAAGCAGGCGGAGAGGCAGGCAGAGAGAAGAAGGGAAGCAGGCUCCCCACCGCCGAGCAGAGAGCCCAAUACAGGACUCAAUUGCAGGACUCAAUCCCAGCACCCUGA
This 489-nucleotide long non-coding RNA is filed under the name Mustela putorius furo (domestic ferret). RNAcentral's name for it is "lncRNA (ENSMPUG00000028862.1)". The record is from RNAcentral. Lineage: Eukaryota; Metazoa; Chordata; Mammalia; Carnivora; Mustelidae.